GCGGCUUUGGCUCAGUCGGUAGAGCGCGAGUCUCAUAAUCUCGAGGUCGUGAGUUCGAGCCUCACAAGCCGCA
Molecule: non-coding RNA, 73 nt
Organism: Stentor coeruleus
Lineage: Eukaryota; Ciliophora; Heterotrichea; Heterotrichida; Stentoridae
Source: Rfam